CGGCUGCUUGGUGAUGGCGCUGCCCUCGGGCACCAGAAACCCCGAGAGGGUGGCCGCGCGAGGCUUGGGCGCCGGCGGCCGCGGCCCAAACAUCCGCUCCGACGCCGCGCGGAACGCGGCCAGCCUAGCCAUGAGCGCAUGCGCGUCAAAGUGGCCGUCAGACUCGGCAAGCGACAGGCCCGUGCAGAUGCCGCUGCCGGGUCCCUUGGCCAGACCAACGGUCCAACCGCUAAAGUGAAUGUCGGGAUCGAGGCCGGCCGCGCGACACAACUCGUGGAUGGUGCCAAAGGGGGUGCGCGCGUCGUCGGUCAUGGCGCCGUGGAACUUGGAGCCGCGCGGCGAGCACCAUUGGACGCAAGCGACGGCCUUGGCGCCGCCCGGCGGCCACAGCAACAGGUCGAGGUCCACGUAGCCGCCCUCUUUGCGCUUGUCACGACCCUCCCCGUCGCGGGCGCUGUUGGUGCAGCCGCUGCCGACAGAGGCGGUGUCGGCGCUUGGCGGCCGUAUCGUGUCGGGAUCGGUGUCUACUGGGUACUCCAUGCCGAUGGCGAGGUCUUUGCGCGAGCGGCGACCAAAGGAAAAAAGAAAAAAAUAGACGAAGGAAAAAAGGGGUCCAACGUAGAGAGGCAAAAAGUUCUCCCCGUCGGGUCCGACCACAAGGGCAACAAAAGAAAAGAGAUCUAGACUGUCCGCCGCUGUUUGUCUGUCUG
RNAcentral lists this long non-coding RNA (710 nucleotides) under Pandoravirus dulcis. RNAcentral's name for it is "putative ncRNA". The record is from RNAcentral.